This 454-nucleotide long non-coding RNA is filed under the name Citrus maxima (pomelo). RNAcentral's name for it is "long non-coding RNA (CMAX_LNC002638)". Lineage: Eukaryota; Viridiplantae; Streptophyta; Magnoliopsida; Sapindales; Rutaceae. The record is from RNAcentral.
CACAGACUAAACGAAUAAUUGAUUUAAAAUAUAAAGAUUAAAUAAAUAUUUAUUUCAUUAUAAUAUCAUUUAAUAAAUGAGUGUCAUAUUGUCACUUAAAUGAAAUAUUAUAAUAUUAUUUGACAAAUUCUAUUCAAACAUUGAUAUCAAAUACUCUAACCACUGUUUCAUUGUUUAAUAUAUUAUGCACAUACAUAAUGUUAAAAAUAAAAUUACGGUGAUGGAACUCAUAGUCUCCAUUUGCAUCCCAUGUUGAUAGUCUAGACUUGUUGCGGUCCUUGUUCUUCUUCUUCUCUCUUCAAUUAUCUUCAAGUAUCUUUUAGUCUAAGCAAAGCACAAAGCUGCUGCUUCCAAUUCUGCAUGCAAAAAUCAUAAUUUAUCUCUUUAUGAAAACAAAGAAGAAGAAAAUUGAUUUGUUACUCACUUCCGUGUGUGUUAGUUAUAUUGGUCGUAG